UGGGGAAUAUUGCACAAUGGGCGCAAGCCUGAUGCAGCCAUGCCGCGUGUGUGAAGAAGGCCUUCGGGUUGUAAAGCACUUUCAGCGAGGAGGAAGGUGGUGAGCUUAAUACGCUCAUCAAUUGACGUUACUCGCAGAAGAAGCACCGGCUAACUCCGUGCCAGCAGCCGCGGUAAUACGGAGGGUGCAAGCGUUAAUCGGAAUUACUGGGCGUAAAGCGCACGCAGGCGGUUUGUUAAGUCAGAUGUGAAAUCCCCGGGCUCAACCUGGGAACUGCAUUUGAAACUGGCAAGCUAGAGUCUCGUAGAGGGGGGUAGAAUUCCAGGUGUAGCGGUGAAAUGCGUAGAGAUCUGGAGGAAUACCGGUGGCGAAGGCGGCCCCCCUGGACGAAGACUGACGCUCAGGUGCGAAAGCGUGGGGCAGCAAACAGGAUUAGAUACCCUGGUAGUCCACGCUGUAAAACGAUGUCGAUUUUGGAGGUUGUGCCCUUGAGGCGUGGCUUCCGGAGCUAACGCGUUAAAUCGACCGCCUGGGGAGUACGGCCGCAAGGUUAAAACUCAAAUGAAUUGAC
This 571-nucleotide ribosomal RNA is filed under the name uncultured bacterium. RNAcentral describes it as "partial 16S ribosomal RNA". It matches the Rfam family "Bacterial small subunit ribosomal RNA", at positions 355 to 914 of the family's 1533-position model. The record is from RNAcentral.